AAGUCGUAACAAGGUUUCCGUAGGUGAACCUGCGGAAGGAUCAUUAAAGAACGCCCCGUUUUUUGAAAUGGGUAAUUCCCAAACCGUGUCUAUAUACCUUUGUUGCUUUGGCAGGUCGCCUUCUAGGAGGCGUCGGCUCCGGCUGACUGCGCCUGCCAGAGGACCCAAACUCGUUUUGUUUAGUGUCGUCUGAGUACUAUAUAAUAGUUAAAACUUUCAACAACGGAUCUCUUGGUUCUGGCAUCGAUGAAGAACGCAGCGAAAUGCGAUAAGUAAUGUGAAUUGCAGAAUUCAGUGAAUCAUCGAAUCUUUGAACGCACAUUGCGCCCCUUGGUAUUCCGAGGGGCAUGCCUGUUCGAGCGUCAUUAUAACCACUCAAGUUUCGACUUGGUAUUGGGGUUCGCGGUUUCGCGGCCCUUAAAAUCAGUGGCGGUGCCGUCUGGCUCUAAGCGUAGUAAUUCUCUCGCUACAGGGUCCGGGUGGUUGCUUGCCAGAAUCCCCCACUUUUAUAGGUUGACCUCGGAUCAGGUAGGGAUACCCGCUGAACUUAAGCAUAUCAAUAAGCGGAGGAAAAGAAACCAACAGGGAUUGCCUCAGUAACGGCGAGUGAAGCGGCAACAGCUCAAAUUUGAAAUCUGGCUCUUUCAGGGUCCGAGUUGUAAUUUGUAGAAGAUGCUUUGGGUGUGGCUCCGGUCUAAGUUCCUUGGAACAGGACGUCAUAGAGGGUGAGAAUCCCGUACGUGACUGGGUGCCUUCGCUCGUGUAAAGCUCUUUCGACGAGUCGAGUUGUUUGGGAAUGCAGCUCAAAAUGGGUGGUAAAUUUCAUCUAAAGCUAAAUAUUGGCCAGAGACCGAUAGCGCACAAGUGGAGUGAUCGAAAGAUGAAAAGCACUUUGGAAAGAGAGUUAAACAGUACGUGAAAUUGUUGAAAGGGAAGCGCUUGCAACCAGACUUGCACGCUGUUGAUCAUCCGAGGUUUUCCCCGGUGUAUUCGGCAGCGUUCAGGCCAGCAUCGGUUUUGGUGGGCGGAUAAAGGCCUUGGGAAUGUAGCUCCUUUCGGGGAGUGUUAUAGCCCUCGGUGCAAUGCGCCCUACCGGGACCGAGGACCGCGCUUCGGCUAGGAUGCUGGCGUAAUGGUUGUAAGCGACC
This 1148-nucleotide ribosomal RNA is filed under the name uncultured fungus. RNAcentral's name for it is "eukaryotic LSU rRNA". The stretch from base 515 to 1148 matches the Rfam family "Eukaryotic large subunit ribosomal RNA", at positions 1 to 649 of the family's 3401-position model. The record is from RNAcentral. Lineage: Eukaryota; Fungi.